GAAAGGGAGCCGGAGCGAAAGCGAGCCUUAACAGGGCGACUUGAGUCCCGCGCCGCGGACGCGAAGCCGGGUGAGCUAUCCGUGGGCAGGCUGAAGCGGGGGUAAGACCCCGUGGAGGGCCGAACGCACGUCGGUUGAAAACGGCGGCGAUGACCUGCGGAUAGGGGUGAAAGGCCAAUCAAACCCGGAGAUAUCUCGUUCUCCCCGAAAUAGCUUUAGGGCUAGCGUCGCGCGUUCACCGCCGGAGGUAGAGCACCGGAUGGACGAGGGGGCUUCGCCGCCUACCGAAUCCAACCGAACUCCGAAUGCCGGCGGCCCAGAGCGCGGCAGUCAGAGCAUGUGGGCUAAGCUGUGUGCUCGAGAGGGAAACAGCCCGGACCGCCCGCUAAGGUCCCCAAGUUCCAGCCGAGUGGCAAAGGAUGUGCGUCCGCCCAGACAACCAGGAUGUUGGCUUAGAAGCAGCCAUCCAUUCAAAGAGUGCGUAACAGCUCACUGGUCGAGUGGACAUGCGCCGACAAUACACGGGGCUAAGCUGGACACCGAAGCGGCGGGAUUUUGAUUUUCAGAAUCGGUAGGGGAGCUUCCCAUGGGCGGAGAAGCCGCCGGGCGACCGGCGGUGGAGCGCAUGGGAGUGAGAAUGCUGGCAUGAGUAGCGAGAGACGAGAGAGUAACUCGUCCGCCGUGAACCCGAGGUUUCCUGGGCAAGGCUAAUCCUCCCAGGGUCAGUCGGGGGCUAAGGCGAGGCCGGGAGGCGUAGCCGACGCGCAGCAGGCAGACAUUCCUGCACCGCGCACGCGGCGCUACGACCGACGGGGCGACGGAUGGGGGUGGCUCGGCGGGGUUCUGGACGUCCCCGUGAUGGAGCGCGGCCCGCGGACCAGGGAAAUCCGGUCCGCAGAAGGGCGAGGCUCCGGACGAAGCACUUAAGCGAAGCGAGUGAGCCCGAGGUCCCUAGAAAAACCCCUAGGCAGGCGCGUGCGCGCCCGUACCGCAAACCGACACAGGUGGGUGGGUAGAACAUACCGAGGCGAUCGGGUCAACCAUGGUCAAGGAACUCGGCACAAUGGCCCCGUAACUUCGGGAGAAGGGGUGCCCGCGCGUACGUGAACGGACUUGCUCCGGGAGCGGAGGCGGGCCGCAGUGGAGAGGCCCAAGCGACUGUUUACCAAAAACACAGGACUCUGCAGAAGCCGCAAGGCGACGUAUAGGGUCUGACGCCUGCCCGGUGCCGGAAGGUCACGCGGAGGAGUUAGCCAUUUCGGCGAAGCCCCGAAGCCAAGCCCCGGUAAACGGCGGCCGUAACUAUAACGGUCCUAAGGUAGCGAAAUUCCUUGUCGGGUAAGUUCCGACCUGCACGAAAGGCGCAACGACUUGGGCGCUGUCUCGACCAUGGACCCGGUGAAAUUGCACUGGUCGUGAAGAUGCGACUUACCCGCGGAAGGACGGAGAGACCCCGUGAACCUUCACUGCAGCUUGGCAUUGGCCGCUGGUCCCGCGUGUAGAGGAUAGGCAGGAGGCUAAGAUCCGGAGGCGCCAGCCCCCGGGGAGCCGCCCUUGGAAUACUGCCCUCGCGCGACCGGCGUCCUAACCCGAGGCCGUCGACCGGCUCGGGGACCGUGCCAGGCGGGCAGUUUGACUGGGGCGGUCGCCUCCUAAAGGGUAACGGAGGCGCGCGAAGGUCCGCUCGGGACGGUCGGCAACCGUCCUUUUGAAUGCAAGAGUACAAGCGGGCUUGACUGCGAGGCCCACAAGCCGAGCAGGUGCGAAAGCAGGCUCUAGUGAUCCGGCGGCCCCGAGUGGGUGGGCCGUCGCUCAACGGAUAAAAGGUACUCCGGGGAUAACAGGCUGAUCUUGCCCAAGAGUCCACAUCGACGGCAAGGUUUGGCACCUCGAUGUCGGCUCAUCGCAUCCUGGGGCUGGAGCAGGUCCCAAGGGUUGGGCUGUUCGCCCAUUAAAGCGGUACGCGAGCUGGGUUCAGAACGUCGUGAGACAGUUCGGUCCCUAUCCUCCGUGGGCGCAGGAGAAUCGAUGGAGGCUGCCCCCAGUACGAGAGGACCGGGGUGGACGCACCUCCGGUGAACCGGUUGUCGACCAACGGCACGGCCGGGUAGCCGCGUGCGGCGCGGAUAACCGCUGAAGGCAUCUAAGCGGGAAGCCGUUCCAGGGAUUAGUUCU
RNAcentral lists this ribosomal RNA (2175 nucleotides) under human gut metagenome. Its description in RNAcentral is "bacterial LSU rRNA". It matches the Rfam family "Bacterial large subunit ribosomal RNA", at positions 657 to 2812 of the family's 2925-position model. The record is from RNAcentral.